UGGACGAAAGUCUGACGGAGCAACGCCGCGUGAGUGAAGAAGGUUUUCGGAUCGUAAAACUCUGUUUUCAGGGACGAAUGUGUGGAUUGUAAAUAAUGAUCCAUAAUGACGGUACCUGACAAGAAAGCCACGGCUAACUACGUGCCAGCAGCCGCGGUAAUACGUAGGUGGCAAGCGUUGUCCGGAAUUAUUGGGCGUAAAGCGCGCGCAGGUGGGAUAAUCAGUCUGAUGUUAAAGUUCGGGGCUUAACCCCGUGAAGCAUUGGAUACUGUUAUUCUUGAGUGCAGGAGAGGAAAGUGGAAUUCCUAGUGUAGCGGUGAAAUGCGUAGAUAUUAGGAGGAACACCAGUGGCGAAGGCGACUUUCUGGACUGUGUCUGACACUGAGGCGCGAAAGCCAGGGUAGUGAACGGGAUUAGAUACCCCGGUAAUCCUGGCCGUAAACGAUGGGUACUAGGUGUUGGGGGUAUCGACCCCUCCAGUGCCGGAGUUAACGCAAUAAGUACCCCGCCUGGGGAGUACGG
Molecule: ribosomal RNA, 522 nt
Filed under: uncultured bacterium
Lineage: Bacteria
Description: bacterial SSU rRNA
Rfam family: Bacterial small subunit ribosomal RNA
Source: RNAcentral